UACGUAGGUGACAGGCGUUGUCCGGAUUUACUGGGCGUAAAGAGCGCGCAGGCGGUCGAUCAAGUCGAGUGUGAAAGCCCCUGGCUCAACUGGGGAGGGUCAUUCGAUACUGAUCGACUCGAAGGCAGGAGAGGGUAGUGGAAUUCCCGGUGUAGUGGUGAAAUGCGUAGAUAUCGGGAGGAACACCAGUGGCGAAGGCGACUUCCUGGCCUGUUCUUGACGCUGAGGCGCGAAAGCUAGGGGAGCAAACGGG
This 253-nucleotide ribosomal RNA is filed under the name uncultured bacterium. Its description in RNAcentral is "partial 16S ribosomal RNA". It matches the Rfam family "Bacterial small subunit ribosomal RNA", at positions 524 to 776 of the family's 1533-position model. The record is from RNAcentral.